Molecule: long non-coding RNA, 949 nt
Organism: Schistocerca serialis cubense
Lineage: Eukaryota; Metazoa; Arthropoda; Insecta; Orthoptera; Acrididae
Exons: 2
Source: RefSeq, a predicted model, not a curated record
GUUACGGGCAAUGUUUACAGCAACGACAUAAGAAGAGCGUUGAUUUGAUUGAAAUACUUAGGUUCGUAUGAGCAGUUGCCAGCGGGCUCGUGGGCAUGCCCAGUGCCUUCCUCCCGCUUCUGGCUACUUCGAGCGUGGCUGUUUGCUGCAUGAGCAGUAGCAGCAAGUAGCCAGAUGCUACCCGGAAUUUUUUUUCCGGCGCACCCCAAGCUGCCAGAUUCGCGCAUGCGCAGAGCAAGCUGAGUUAUAGGGGGGGCGGGGAACCGUGUAUAUGUUUCGUGUUUUCGUAAUAUUGCUGGUCUCUUCGUUUACAGCUCUCACGUCAAUUGAAAUCAAAACAGAUUUCUGUGGCCGGGAGCCAUCAAGUGAAUUAUAUACAUUCUCAUAACAAUGAAAGACCAAAGUACCGAAUACUGAAGCACAACGGAAGGAAAUUGCUCGAGAAUUUGAGGUUCACUGGAACUCUCCUCAUUGCAUAGGGUCUUUAGAUGGAAAACGUGCAAAUUGUUAAUCCUGCUCAUGCUGGAAGCACUUAAUACAACUAUAAAGACACUGGCAACAUUAUGUCAAUGGCAUUAGUGGAUGCUGAUUGCCAGGUUCUGCAUGCGGAUAUAGGAGUGCAGGGACAUAUUUCACAUGGAGGUGUAUUUGACAGUACAACCUUUAAUAAAGCUCUUCAGGCAGGUGAGCUGCACAUACCAUGACCGGAAUCUCUGCCUUUAAGAGCAGUGUCCACUUCCUUUGUAAUUGUUGCUGAUGCUUUUGCACUACAAGAACAUGUCAUGAAACCCUUUCCAGGAAAUCAUAACACAGGUAGCAGAGGAAGAUUAUUUAACUACAGGUUUUUAGGCUGACAAGCUGUCGAAAAUGCCUUUGGAAAACUAUCCUCUGUUUUUGUGUUUUACAAAAACCUGUUCAUCUUGAUCCCCAUAAAGCAACUAUAAUGAUU